Molecule: ribosomal RNA, 206 nt
Filed under: uncultured bacterium
Lineage: Bacteria
Description: partial 16S ribosomal RNA
Rfam family: Bacterial small subunit ribosomal RNA
Source: RNAcentral
CGCGCAGGUGGUUUCUUAAGUCUGAUGUGAAAGCCCACGGCUCAACCGUGGAGGGUCAUUGGAAACUGGGAGACUUGAGUGCAGAAGAGGAUAGUGGAAUUCCAAGUGUAGCGGUGAAAUGCGUAGAGAUUUGGAGGAACACCAGUGGCGAAGGCGACUGUCUGGUCUGUAACUGACACUGAGGCACGAAAGCGUGGGAGCAAACA